AGAUUGUGUUCCUGCUGCACAAGAGCGUCUGUACUUCUGCAAGUGAUGGUCAGCGGCUGAUUGUUUCCUGAAAGCUCUGCUAAUGUCUGCAUUGGUGUUUUAGCUGCAGUAUGGCAGAGGAGCGAGUAAAGGACUCUCUCUCAGAGAAACACAGUGUGAGAUCAGGAUCAUGUGUGUCCAGCUCUGUGUCUCUGAAGAGUGACUGCUCUAAAAAUGGUGUACCUCCAGACCUCAGAGGGAAAACACCAUCAUCAGUCAAAAGGUUUUUUCAUUUAGUGAAGUCAAAACAUCCUCCAUCAAACCUCAGAGAGAAAACACCAUCAUCUGCCGAAAGGUAUUUUGUGCUUUACAUUUUGGUCACUAGUGAUUGGAACCUUUAAGAACCUCAUCAUCUGAUUUGAUUUCCAUUCCAUGAUGAUUCUUAACUUAGUUUUUCUAUAUUAUCUGUUGUGCAUGUAUGUCUUUACAAUUUUACAUUUCAACCAGGAAACCUAAUUUGCUGUGCUUGUGUUUAUUAAAAGGAAUCUGUAAAGACUCUAGGUAUUACCUUUGGGUGCGGAAGGAAUUUUAACAGCAUAUUGAAGUCAGCCACAAAAUGAAAUAGAAGCACCAGAUCAUAACCGUCUGUAAUUAUCUGGUGCUUCUGUGUCUUUGUGGCUGGCUUCAGUAUGAAUUAAUAAUUGCAGACUGUUAUUCAUCUGUCCAAAUGAAGCUAAGUCUGCAGGAUGCUUAUAUCACAAAAGUGGUGAGCACUCUAGAUCUGAGGAUUACAGUGGUGGCCUAUCCAUUGCCUCUGGGCCCUUGGGCCCCUGGCUCCUCCACAACUUGCCCUAUCACAUUUGUGCUGGUUUUUCCCCUGGGAUGCUUGUGUUUUUACUCAUUGACAACAGAGAUCAGAUGCCCAUCACAGCAUCAGAGGGUGAGUUUUCAUGUUCAGAUGACAGACUAAGCUCGCUGCCACCAUCUGGGGUGCAAUGCGCGGUCACUGAUCUAGAGUCAGGCAUGAUGGCUGUGCUUUCAUCAUGGCUGCUACUUUGGCAGUAGGGCUGGAGAUGGCUUGUCCCCCUAGUCCCACGGUGGGACUGACUAGAGCGGGAGCUGAUGUGAGAUAAAUUCUUCCAGACCCCCGUCCCCAUCUUCCAAGGAGCAAACAGGGAACUCAACCAGUUUUGAACAUGAGUCACCAGAUUUAAAAAACAAGACUCACAGAAGCCGAAAGAGUUUCACAGACAAUCUCCUGAAGAUCUUCCAGAAUCUUGAGAGCAAAAUGAUCGAAUUUCUGAAGAAAGAAAUGCAAACGUUUAGGAAAAUCUUACAAGAAGAAAACAGACAAGAGUUUGUGAAGGACUUUAAUGAGAACAGAAGCAUUAUCACAGAAGCAGCUCUUGAUCUCACACUCUUCUUCCUGAAAGAGAUGAAGCAAGAUCAAGCUGCUGAUACCCUUGAGGAUGAGCUGUUCUUCAUUAAUCAGCUUAAAUGUAGCCUGAAGAAGAAAUAUCAAAGUGUGUUUGAAGGAAUUGCUCAGCAAGGAGACUCCACACUUCUGAAUAAGAUCUACACAGAUCUCUAUAUCACUCAGGGUGCGAGUGAACAGGUCAACACUGAACAUGAGAUCAGACAGAUUGAAGCUGCUUCCAGACGUCAUCAGCCACUAGAGAUACAGGUUAAAUGCAAACAUUUGUUUGAAGCAGCUGAACAAGACGAGCAGAUCAGAACUGUCCUGACAAAAGGAGUUGCUGGCAUCGGGAAAUCAGUCUCUGUGCAAAAGUUUGUUCUGGAUUGGGCUGAAGGGAAAGAAAAUCAAAACAUGAGCUUCAUAUUUCCUCUUCCAUUCAGAGAGAUGAACUUAA
RNAcentral lists this long non-coding RNA (1850 nucleotides) under Danio rerio (zebrafish). RNAcentral describes it as "lncRNA (ENSDARG00000099099.3)". The record is from RNAcentral. Lineage: Eukaryota; Metazoa; Chordata; Actinopteri; Cypriniformes; Danionidae.